CUCAUCCUUCUUCUUCGCUCACACUUGACACUGAGCAACUGGAGCCAACAUAUCUCAACCGAUGGCGAAGAUUGGGUUAGUUACUCCUCAUUAUCGACCAGAACAACAAGAAUCUCAGGUUAGAAGGCCAAGUGCACUCAGUCAAGCACAUCUAGCAUGCCAAUGCCAAGGCAAAAGCCUACUCCAUCAAGCAAGGCCGUGCCAAUUCACCCAAAUUCCAAUCAGUCAAGUAGGGAUAGUAGGCUAGUGCCCACUCACCAUAUUCCAAUCAACCAAGGGUAGCAGCCCAAGAAUUUUUCUUUUCUUUUGUUUUGUUUGUGUAUCAAGGGUAAUAGAGAAAGACAAUUGCUUUUGUGGGAUUUUGUUUUGUGGACCGUUGCUGCUGCUAUUUUAUAUGAUCAAUUGAAUGUUAGUUUAUAUUCUUA
Camellia sinensis is the source of this 425-nucleotide non-coding RNA. The record is from RefSeq and is a predicted model, not a curated record. NCBI's taxonomy places the organism in Eukaryota, Viridiplantae, Streptophyta, Magnoliopsida, Ericales, Theaceae.